UACGGAGGAUGCAAGCGUUAUCCGGAUUCAUUGGGUUUAAAGGGUGCGCAGGCGGAAUGAUAAGUCAGUGGUGAAAUCUCCCAGCUUAACUGGGAAACUGCCAUUGAUACUGCCAUUCUUGAGUACAGUUGAAGUGGGCGGAAUGUGUCAUGUAGCGGUGAAAUGCUUAGAUAUGACACAGAACACCGAUAGCGAAGGCAGCUCACUAAGCUGUAACUGACGCUCAUGCACGAAAGCGUGGGGAUCAAACAGGAUUAGAUACCCUGGUAGUCCACGCUGUAAACGAUGAUCACUCGUUGUUGGCGAUAUACUGUCAGCGACUGAGCGAAAGCAUUAAGUGAUCCACCUGGGGAGUACGGCGGCAACGUUGAA
RNAcentral lists this ribosomal RNA (372 nucleotides) under uncultured bacterium. RNAcentral's name for it is "bacterial SSU rRNA". It matches the Rfam family "Bacterial small subunit ribosomal RNA", at positions 524 to 898 of the family's 1533-position model. The record is from RNAcentral.